Molecule: long non-coding RNA, 477 nt
Organism: Nematostella vectensis (starlet sea anemone)
Lineage: Eukaryota; Metazoa; Cnidaria; Anthozoa; Actiniaria; Edwardsiidae
Exons: 2
Source: RefSeq, a predicted model, not a curated record
AUUAAGCUCUCAAGUACGUUGUUUUUGUUAUUCCCAUCUUUUGGCGAUCUUUGUAUACAUCAGAAUAUAAGGCUUUUCUUGUCUGGAACCAAGAAUGCUUGACAGGACUAAAAAUAUCUGCCGCCAAGCUCUCAAGUACAUUGUUUUUCUUAUUCCCAUAUCUUGGCGUUCUUUGUAAACAUGUAGAAGAGUCACAGACAGCCAAAGGCUUCUGUCGUUUUUAAGUCGUGGAUACGCGAAGUGUAGGAACGACUUUUUGCGGGGGUCCACGAUCGCCUUGCCAGACGUCUGGGGGGUCCCAGAGAAUGGCAUCUCGAUCUCAGCGCCGUGUUGCAAGAUCAGGGGGGACACGCCUUCCGGUACAGCGCUUAACUCGACGAGCUGGUAUUCGCAGAAAAACGGUGAUAAUGAUUAUAAUAGUUUAUGGCUCAAACAAUACGUAUUAACUCAAACUAUACGUAUUAUGGCAACUCACAA